RNAcentral lists this ribosomal RNA (445 nucleotides) under uncultured Bradyrhizobiaceae bacterium. RNAcentral's name for it is "bacterial SSU rRNA". It matches the Rfam family "Bacterial small subunit ribosomal RNA", at positions 333 to 798 of the family's 1533-position model. The record is from RNAcentral. Lineage: Bacteria; Pseudomonadati; Pseudomonadota; Alphaproteobacteria; Hyphomicrobiales; Nitrobacteraceae.
CAACCUACGGGAGGCAGCAGUGGGGAAUAUUGGACAAUGGGGGCAACCCUGAUCCAGCCAUGCCGCGUGAGUGAUGAAGGCCCUAGGGUUGUAAAGCUCUUUUGUGCGGGAAGAUAAUGACGGUACCGCAAGAAUAAGCCCCGGCUAACUUCGUGCCAGCAGCCGCGGUAAUACGAAGGGGGCUAGCGUUGCUCGGAAUCACUGGGCGUAAAGGGUGCGUAGGCGGGUCUUUAAGUCAGGGGUGAAAUCCUGGAGCUCAACUCCAGAACUGCCUUUGAUACUGAAGAUCUUGAGUUCGGGAGAGGUGAGUGGAACUGCGAGUGUAGAGGUGAAAUUCGUAGAUAUUCGCAAGAACACCAGUGGCGAAGGCGGCUCACUGGCCCGAUACUGACGCUGAGGCACGAAAGCGUGGGGAGCAAACAGGAUUAGAUACCCCGGUAGUCAC